AGAACGAACGCUGGCGGCGCGUCUUAAGCAUGCAAGUCGAACGGCAAGAGGUAGCAAUACCUCCUAGAGUGGCGGACUGGUGAGUAACACGUGGGUGACAUACCCUUCAGAUGGGGAUAGCUAUUAGAAAUAGUAGAUAAUACCGAAUACGAGCACAGGGGUUAGAGAUCUGUGAGGAAAGGAGCUAAGGCUCCGCUGAAGGAAUGGCCUGCGGCCCAUUAGCUAGUUGGUGAGGUAAGAGCCCACCAAGGCGAUGAUGGGUAUCCGGCCUUAGAGGGUGAACGGACACAUUGGGACUGAGAUACGGCCCAGACUCCUACGGGAGGCAGCAGCUAAGAAUAUUCCGCAAUGGACGAAAGUCUGACGGAGCGACGCCGCGUGGAUGAAGAAGGCCGGAAGGUUGUAAAAUCCUUUUGAAACUGAAGAAUAAGCGUUGUAGGGAAUGACAGCGUGGUGACAGUAGGUUUUGAAUAAGCAACGGCUAAUUACGUGCCAGCCGCAGC
This 503-nucleotide ribosomal RNA is filed under the name uncultured bacterium. RNAcentral's name for it is "bacterial SSU rRNA". It matches the Rfam family "Bacterial small subunit ribosomal RNA", at positions 26 to 518 of the family's 1533-position model. The record is from RNAcentral.